UACGUAGGGUGCGAGCGUUGUCCGGAAUUAUUGGGCGUAAAGAGCUCGUAGGCGGUGUGUCACGUCGUUCGUGAAAACCUGCAGCUUAACUGUGGGCGUGCGGUCGAUACGGGCAUCACUGGAGUUCGGCAGGGGAGACUGGAAUUCCUGGUGUAGCGGUGAAAUGCGCAGAUAUCAGGAGGAACACCGGUGGCGAAGGCGGCGAUCUGGGUAGAUACUGACGCUGAGGUGCGAAAGCGUGGGGAGCAAACAGG
RNAcentral lists this ribosomal RNA (254 nucleotides) under uncultured bacterium. RNAcentral describes it as "partial 16S ribosomal RNA". It matches the Rfam family "Bacterial small subunit ribosomal RNA", at positions 524 to 776 of the family's 1533-position model. The record is from RNAcentral.